CGAUGAACCGCUUUCGGGCGGGGAUUAUGGCGAACGGGUGAGUAACACGUGGGCAAUCUGCCCUGCACUCUGGGACAAGCCCUGGAAACGGGGUCUAAUACCGGAUAUGACUGUCCAUCGCAUGGUGGAUGGUGUAAAGCUCCGGCGGUGCAGGAUGAGCCCGCGGCCUAUCAGCUUGUUGGUGAGGUAGUGGCUCACCAAGGCGACGACGGGUAGCCGGCCUGAGAGGGCGACCGGCCACACUGGGACUGAGACACGGCCCAGACUCCUACGGGAGGCAGCAGUGGGGAAUAUUGCACAAUGGGCGAAAGCCUGAUGCAGCGACGCCGCGUGAGGGAUGACGGCCUUCGGGUUGUAAACCUCUUUCAGCAGGGAAGAAGCGAAAGUGACGGUACCUGCAGAAGAAGCGCCGGCUAACUACGUGCCAGCAGCCGCGGUAAUACGUAGGGCGCAAGCGUUGUCCGGAAUUAUUGGGCGUAAAGAGCUCGUAGGCGGCUUGUCACGUCGGUUGUGAAAGCCCGGGGCUUAACCCCGGGUCUGCAGUCGAUACGGGCAGGCUAGAGUUCGGUAGGGGAGAUCGGAAUUCCUGGUGUAGCGGUGAAAUGCGCAGAUAUCAGGAGGAACACCGGUGGCGAAGGCGGAUCUCUGGGCCGAUACUGACGCUGAGGAGCGAAAGCGUGGGGAGCGAACAGGAUUAGAUACCCUGGUAGUCCACGCCGUAAACGGUGGGCACUAGUGUGGGCAACAUUCCACGUUGUCCGUGCCGCAGCUAACGCAUUAAGUGCCCCGCCUGGGG
Molecule: ribosomal RNA, 796 nt
Filed under: Streptomyces sp. BPSEAC6
Lineage: Bacteria; Bacillati; Actinomycetota; Actinomycetes; Kitasatosporales; Streptomycetaceae
Description: bacterial SSU rRNA
Rfam family: Bacterial small subunit ribosomal RNA
Source: RNAcentral